This 522-nucleotide ribosomal RNA is filed under the name uncultured bacterium. RNAcentral describes it as "bacterial SSU rRNA". It matches the Rfam family "Bacterial small subunit ribosomal RNA", at positions 355 to 895 of the family's 1533-position model. The record is from RNAcentral.
UGGGGAAUAUUGGACAAUGGACCAAGAGUCUGAUCCAGCAAUUCUGUGUGCACGAUGAAGUUUUUCGGAAUGUAAAGUGCUUUCAGUUGGGAAGAAAGAAAUGACGGUACCAACAGAAGAAGUGACGGCUAAAUACGUGCCAGCAGCCGCGGUAAUACGUAUGUCACGAGCGUUAUCCGGAUUUAUUGGGCGUAAAGCGCGUCUAGGUGGUUAUGUAAGUCUGAUGUGAAAAUGCAGGGCUCAACUCUGGAUUGCGUUGGAAACUGUAUAACUAGAGUACUGGAGAGGUAAGCGGAACUACAAGUGUAGAGGUGAAAUUCGUAGAUAUUUGUAGGAAUGCCGAUGGGGAAGCCAGCUUACUGGACAGAUACUGACGCUGAAGCGCGAAAGCGUGGGUAGCAAACAGGAUUAGAUACCCUGGUAGUCCACGCCGUAACGAUGAUUACUAGGUGUUGGGGGUCGAACCUCAGCGCCCAAGCAAACGCGAUAAGUAAUCCGCCUGGGGAGUACGUACGCAAGUAU